GAUGAACGCUGGCGGCGUGCCUAACACAUGCAAGUCGAACGGACAUAAUUUGAAACCUAGUGAGAAUUAUGUUAGUGGCGGACGGGUGAGUAACGCGUGGGUAACCUGCCCCAUACCGGGGGAUACCAGCCGGAAACGGCUGCUAAUACCGCAUAAGCGCACAGCUUUGCAUGAAGCAGUGUGAAAAACUCCGGUGGUAUGGGAUGGACCCGCGUCCGAUUAGCCAGUUGGCGGGGUAGAGGCCCACCAAAGCGACGAUCGGUAGCCGGCCUGAGAGGGCGGACGGCCACAUUGGGACUGAGACACGGCCCAG
Molecule: ribosomal RNA, 313 nt
Filed under: uncultured bacterium
Lineage: Bacteria
Description: bacterial SSU rRNA
Rfam family: Bacterial small subunit ribosomal RNA
Source: RNAcentral